GCGAACGCUGGCGGCAGGCCUAACACAUGCAAGUCGAACGAACUCUUCGGAGUUAGUGGCGGACGGGUGAGUCACACGUGGGAACGUGCCUUUUGGUUCGGAAUAACUCAGGGAAACUUGUGCUAAUACCGAAUGUGCCCUUCGGGGGAAAGAUUUAUCGCCAUUAGAGCGGCCCGCGUCUGAUUAGCUAGUUGGUGAGGUAACGGCUCACCAAGGCGACGAUCAGUAGCUGGUCUGAGAGGAUGACCAGCCACACUGGGACUGAGACACGGCCCAGACUCCUACGGGAGGCAGCAGUGGGGAAUCUUGCGCAAUGGGCGAAAGCCUGACGCAGCCAUGCCGCGUGAAUGAUGAAGGUCUUAGGAUUGUAAAAUUCUUUCACCGGGGACGAUAAUGACGGUACCCGGAGAAGAAGCCCCGGCUAACUUCGUG
This 432-nucleotide ribosomal RNA is filed under the name uncultured bacterium. RNAcentral describes it as "partial 16S ribosomal RNA". It matches the Rfam family "Bacterial small subunit ribosomal RNA", at positions 29 to 507 of the family's 1533-position model. The record is from RNAcentral.